AACCGAAGAGUUUCACCUACCCCAAACCCCUGUGAACAUACCUAUACGUUGCCUCGGCGGAUCAGCCCGCGCCCCGUAAAACGGGACGGCCCGCCCGAGGACCCUAAACUCUGUUUUUAGUGGAACUUCUGAGUAAAACAAACAAAUAAAUCAAAACUUUCAACAACGGAUCUCUUGGUUCUGGCAUCGAUGAAGAACGCAGCAAAAUGCGAUAAGUAAUGUGAAUUGCAGAAUUCAGUGAAUCAUCGAAUCUUUGAACGCACAUUGCGCCCGCCAGUAUUCUGGCGGGCAUGCCUGUUCGAGCGUCAUUUCAACCCUCAAGCUCAGCUUGGUGUUGGGACUCGCGGUAACCCGCGUUCCCCAAAUCGAUUGGCGGUCACGUCGAGCUUCCAUAGCGUAGUAAUCAUACACCUCGUUACUGGUAAUCGUCGCGGCCACGCCGUAAAACCCCAACUUCUGAAUGUUGACCUCGGAUCAGGUAGGAAUACCCGCUGAACUUAAGCAUAUCAAUAAGCGGAGGAAA
This 523-nucleotide ribosomal RNA is filed under the name Fusarium equiseti. RNAcentral describes it as "eukaryotic LSU rRNA". The stretch from base 155 to 308 matches the Rfam family "5.8S ribosomal RNA". The record is from RNAcentral. Lineage: Eukaryota; Fungi; Ascomycota; Sordariomycetes; Hypocreales; Nectriaceae.